RNAcentral lists this ribosomal RNA (438 nucleotides) under Catonella morbi. RNAcentral describes it as "bacterial SSU rRNA". It matches the Rfam family "Bacterial small subunit ribosomal RNA", at positions 28 to 446 of the family's 1533-position model. Lineage: Bacteria; Bacillati; Bacillota; Clostridia; Lachnospirales; Lachnospiraceae. The record is from RNAcentral.
GAUGAACGCUGGCGGCGUGCCUAACACAUGCAAGUCGAACGGAGAUUACGGACGGAAGUUUUCGGAUGGAAGCCUGUAAUUCUUAGUGGCGGACGGGUGAGUAACGCGUGGGCAACCUGCCCUAUACAGGGGGAUAGCAGCUGGAAACGGCUGGUAAGACCGCAUAAGUCGGUUAAAUCGCAUGAUUUGAUCGGGAAAUGAGCAAUCAGGUAUAGGAUGGGCCCGCGUCCGAUUAGCCAGUUGGCAGGGUAAAAGCCUACCAAAGCGACGAUCGGUAGCCGGACUGAGAGGUCGGACGGCCACAUUGGGACUGAGACACGGCCCAAACUCCUACGGGAGGCAGCAGUGGGGGAUAUUGCACAAUGGAGGAAACUCUGAUGCAGCGACGCCGCGUGAGUGAAGAAGUAUUUCGGUAUGUAAAGCUCUAUCAGCAGGGAA